AGCAGUAGGGAAUCUUCCACAAUGGACGCAAGUCUGAUGGAGCAACGCCGCGUGAGUGAAGAAGGGUUUCGGCUCGUAAAGCUCUGUUGGUAGUGAAGAAAGAUAGAGGUAGUAACUGGCCUUUAUUUGACGGUAAUUACCUAGAAAGUCACGGCUAACUACGUGCCAGCAGCCGCGGUAAUACGUAGGUGGCAAGCGUUGCCCGGAUUUAUUGGGCGUAAAGCGAGUGCAGGCGGUUCAAUAAGUCUGAUGUGAAAGCCUUCGGCUCAACCGGAGAAUUGCAUCAGAAACUGUUGAACUUGAGUGCAGAAGAGGAGAGUGGAACUCCAUGUGUAGCGGUG
RNAcentral lists this ribosomal RNA (341 nucleotides) under uncultured Lactobacillus sp. RNAcentral describes it as "bacterial SSU rRNA". It matches the Rfam family "Bacterial small subunit ribosomal RNA", at positions 350 to 683 of the family's 1533-position model. Lineage: Bacteria; Bacillati; Bacillota; Bacilli; Lactobacillales; Lactobacillaceae. The record is from RNAcentral.